GUCCUAGCCCUAAACGAUCAGGACUUGGGGUGCUUCACGUUCGUGGAGCGUCCCGGAGCUAACGCGUUAAGUCCUGCACCUGGGGAGUACGGUCGCAAGACUGAAACUCAAAGGAAUUGACGGGGCCCGCACAAGCGGUGGAACAUGUGGUUCAAUUCGACGCUACGCGAGGAACCUUACCUGGGCUCGAAGCGCACUUGACUAGCUAUAGAAAUAUGGCCUUCCCGCAAGGGACAAGUGUGGAGGCGCUGCAUGGCUGUCGU
This 263-nucleotide ribosomal RNA is filed under the name uncultured bacterium. RNAcentral describes it as "partial 16S ribosomal RNA". It matches the Rfam family "Bacterial small subunit ribosomal RNA", at positions 793 to 1055 of the family's 1533-position model. The record is from RNAcentral.